GCAGCGAUCGGUAGCUGGUCUGAGAGGAUGAGCAGCCACACUGGGACUGAGACACGGCCCAGACUCCUACGGGAGGCAGCAGUGGGGAAUUUUCCGCAAUGGGCGCAAGCCUGACGGAGCAACGCCGCGUGUGGGAAGAAGGCUCUUGGGCUGUCAACCACUUUUCUCAGGGAAGAAGUCCUGACGGUACCUGAGGAAUCAGCCUCGGCCUAACUCCGUGCCAGCAGCCGCGGUAAUACGGAGGAGGCAAGCGUUAUCCGGAAUUAUUGGGCGUAAAGCGUCCGCAGGGGGCACAUCAAGUCUGCUGUUAAAGGCUGGAGCUUAACUCCGGUAGAGCAGUGGAAACUGGUGUGCUAGAGGGCGACAGGGGUAGAGGGAAUUCCCAGUGUAGCGGUGAAAUGCGUAGAGAUUGGGAAGAACACCGGUGGCGAAAGCGCUCUACUGGGUCGCACCUGACCCUCAGGGACGAAAGCUAAGGUAGCGAAAGGGAUUAGAUACCCCUGUAGCCUUAGCCGUAAACGAUGGAUACUAGGCGUGGUUUGUAUCGACCCAAGCCGUGCCGAAGCUAACGCGUUAAGUAUCCCGCCUGGGGAGUACGCACGCAAGUGUGAAACUCAAAGGAAUUGACGGGGGCCCGCACAAGCGGUGGAGGAUGUGGUUUAAUUCGAUGCAACGCGAAGAACCUUACCAGGGCUUGACAUCCCGCGAAUCCCCAUGAAAGUGGGGAGUGCCUUCGGGAACGCGGAGACAGGUGGUGCAUGGCUGUCGUCAGCUCGUGUCGUGAGAUGUUGGGUUAAGUCCCGCAACGAGCGCAACCCUCGUCCUUAGUUGCCAGCAUUAAGUUGGGCACUCUAGGGAGACUGCCGGUGACAAACCGGAGGAAGGUGAGGAUGACGUCAAGUCAGCAUGCCCCUUAUGCUCUGGGCAACACACGUCCUACAAUGGUCGGGACAAAGGGGAGCGAGCUCGCGAGAGUCAGCGAAUCCCAGCAAACUCGGCCUCAGUUCAGAUGGCAGGCUGCAACUCGCCUGCCUGAAGGAGGAAUCGCUAGUAAUCGCUGGUCAGCAUACAGCGGUGAAUUCGUUCCCGGGCCUUGUACACACCGCCCGUCACACCAUGGAAGCUGGCCAAGCCCGAAGUCGUUACCCUAACCGUUCGCGGAGGGGGC
RNAcentral lists this ribosomal RNA (1168 nucleotides) under uncultured organism. Its description in RNAcentral is "bacterial SSU rRNA". It matches the Rfam family "Bacterial small subunit ribosomal RNA", at positions 273 to 1454 of the family's 1533-position model. The record is from RNAcentral.